RNAcentral lists this ribosomal RNA (466 nucleotides) under uncultured bacterium. Its description in RNAcentral is "partial 16S ribosomal RNA". It matches the Rfam family "Bacterial small subunit ribosomal RNA", at positions 28 to 507 of the family's 1533-position model. The record is from RNAcentral.
GACGAACGCUGGCGGCGUGCUUAACACAUGCAAGUCGUGCGGUAAGGCCCUUUCGGGGGUACACGAGCGGCGAACGGGUGAGUAACACGUGAGCAACCUGCCCUUCACUUUGGGAUAACUGCCGGAAACGGUGGCUAAUACCGGACAUGACUUCCUCACGCAUGUGGGGUGGUGGAAAGCCUUCGGGUGGUGGGGGAUGGGCUCGCGGUCUAUCAGCUUGUUGGUGGGGUGAUGGCCUACCAAGGCUUCGACGGGUAGCCGGCCUGAGAGGGUGACCGGCCACACUGGGACUGAGACACGGCCCAGACUCCUACGGGAGGCAGCAGUGGGGAAUAUUGGACAAUGGGCGGAAGCCUGAUCCAGCAACGCCGCGUGAGGGAUGACGGCCUUCGGGUUGUAAACCGCUUUCGCCUGCGACGAAGCGAGAGUGACGGUAACAGGUAAAGAAGCACCGGCUAACUACGUG